This 1740-nucleotide long non-coding RNA is filed under the name Ananas comosus (pineapple). RNAcentral describes it as "long non-coding RNA (ACOM_LNC007237)". The record is from RNAcentral. Lineage: Eukaryota; Viridiplantae; Streptophyta; Magnoliopsida; Poales; Bromeliaceae.
AACUAAGUUCAAAUUCAAAUUGACCGUCAAGUUGCUAAACUGAGCAAUCAAAGUAAAUCCUUUUGACCGCCAAGUCGUUAAACAGAGCGAACUGAAUUCAAAUUCAAAUCACCAUCAAGUCGUUAAACUGAACUCAACUCAAGCCGACCGCUAUGUCGUUAAACUUAGCUACUAAAUUCAAACUGACUGCCACGUCGUUAAACUAAGCUAUUAAAUCCAAACCGACUGCCACGUUGUUAAACUGAGCAAUUCAAAUCAAGCCGACCGCCAUGUCGAUAAAUUGAGCACCAAAACUCAAACAGAUCGCCAUGUCAUUAAACUGAGCAACUCAAUCUAAAGUUGACCGCCAUGUCAUUAAACUGAGCACCACAACUCAAACCGACAGCCAUGUCGCUAAACUGAGCAUCUCAACUUCAAUCGACCGCCAAGUCGCUAAAUUGAGUAAAUCAAAUUCAGAUAUGACCAUCAAGUCGUUAAACUGAAUAUUUGACCAUCAAGUCGUUAAACUGAGCAUCUGACAGCCAUGUCGGUAAACCGAACACCAAAACUCAAACCGACCGCCAUGCCAUUAAAUUGAGUACCAAAACUCAAAUCGACCCCCAUGUCAUUAAACUGAGUACCUCAAAUUCAAACCAACCGUCAUGUCAUUAAAUUGCGCACCUCAACAUCAAGCCGACCGCCAUAUCAUUAAACUGAGCAUCAAAACUCAAAUCGACCGUCAUAUCAUUAAACUGAGUACCUCAAACUCAAACCGGCCGCCAUAAACUGAGAACAAAAGUCAAACCGACCGCCAUGUCAUUAAACUGAGCAACUCAAUCUAAAGCCGACCGCCAUGUCAUUAAACUGAGCACUACAACUCAAACCGACCGCCAUGUCACUAAACUGGACAUCUCAACUUCAAUUAACCGCCAAGUCGCUAAACUGAGCAAAUUAAGUUCAGAUAUGAUCGUUAAGUCGUUAAACUAAACAAAUGACUGUUAAGUUAUUAAACUGAACAUUUGAUCGCCAAGUCGUUAAAUCGAGCAAACCAAGUUCAACUUCAAAAUGACCGUCAAGUCGUUAAACUGAACGAAUGACCGCCAUAUCGUUAAAUUGAGCAAUCAAAUUAAACCCUUUUGACUGCCAUGUAGUUAAACUGAGCAAUCAUAUUAAACUCUUUUUAAUUGCCAUGUCGUUAAACUGAACAAUCAUAUUAAACUCCUUUAACCGCCAAGUUGCUAAACUGAGCAAACCAUAUCAAACUCAUUUUGACCGCUAUAUUGUUAAACUGAGCAAAUUAAAAUUAAACUCAACCUCAACCAGUUUCAAACGACCGCUAUGUCAUUAAAUUGAGCAAUCUGAUCCUAAUCGACCAUCAAGUUUAUAAACUGAAUAUUUAGUUUUAUAAAAUCUGUGUACAGUGAAAAAAUGUUCCUGCUUAAGCCAUUACACGGCAAAUCAUAUUGAUAAAAUUUUAUUUAUCCGUUUGGUCUCUUUUAUUAUUAGCAUUUACGUUCGAUCUCUUAAUCGAGGGUUACUUAACACUGAAAGUGUGGGAUAAUUAACAAGAGAUUUUUGAGUAUAUUAGAAGCCAUGAAUAUAUAAUCUUGAUUUCAAAAUAAAAUUUAAACAAAUUGAAUCUGUAUCAUGAAUGACCACUCAUCUUAGAAAUACCUACGGCGGAGCCGGUUCGUUCGCGGUAGACAAAUUUUAUAAUCUUAUAGAUACACUUUACAUCAUAUAAAAUGUCUACGCAUAAUU